This 253-nucleotide ribosomal RNA is filed under the name uncultured bacterium. Its description in RNAcentral is "partial 16S ribosomal RNA". It matches the Rfam family "Bacterial small subunit ribosomal RNA", at positions 524 to 776 of the family's 1533-position model. The record is from RNAcentral.
GACGUAAGGUGCAAGCGUUGUCCGGAAUUAUUGGGCGUAAAGAGCUCGUAGGCGGUCUGUUGCGUCGGCUGUGAAAACCCGAGGCUCAACCUCGGGCCUGCAGCCGAUACGGGCAGACUAGAGUUCGGCAGGGGAGACUGGAAUUCCUGGUGUAGCGGUGAAAUGCGCAGAUAUCAGGAGGAACACCGGUGGCGAAGGCGGGUCUCUGGGCCGAUACUGACGCUGAGGAGCGAAAGCGUGGGGAGCGAACAGG